This is a long non-coding RNA of Hemicordylus capensis (graceful crag lizard), 404 nucleotides long. RefSeq lists it as uncharacterized. Lineage: Eukaryota; Metazoa; Chordata; Lepidosauria; Squamata; Cordylidae. The record is from RefSeq and is a predicted model, not a curated record. The transcript has 3 exons.
GUAGAACUGUUUGGCCCUGAGACGCGAUCACGGCAUGGUCACACAGAGGGGAGAGCCUCGCCGCUUCCCAAAGCCAUUAGCAAUCCCUGCAUGAUCUUCAUUCACUGCGCCAAGGAGCAACCUUCAACUGCAAGGAAUGCAAGAGCAAAUGAGUAAAAGAAGGCGAAACGCGGCUUCUGCUCCUUGGAACCGAUUCAACGACAACCCCGCCCUUCAGUAUCAGUGAUCUGCUGGAGGAAACCUUUAAUACUCAAUUUCCUGUUGUGUAUCUUGAUUUACUCUUCCUCUCCGCCAUACGAAGUCUAGUAGGAACAUCCUUUCGCCCUCCAAGGUCACAGCUCACGUAAAGUGGAAAUGAAAAUACAUACAUCACGUACAGAAGGCGGGACGGCGAAUAAGAUGAA